RNAcentral lists this ribosomal RNA (576 nucleotides) under Triticum aestivum (bread wheat). Its description in RNAcentral is "partial small subunit ribosomal RNA". Lineage: Eukaryota; Viridiplantae; Streptophyta; Magnoliopsida; Poales; Poaceae. The record is from RNAcentral.
AUGUCCAGUCCUCCGGCGCUUCCUGCAAGACCUUCAAUUCUGGGGGUGGAGAUGUGGCGUCCGCAAACCCCGGGUGUCGCACACCUCCAUCGAGUCCAGCCUCCGCAGUGCCACGGCGGAAUCCUGCACGACAUUCAGUUCUGGGGGCGUGGGCGUGUCGUCGGCAUGAGUCUGCGACAAGACGCCGGCGGUCAUUCGAGCUGCGCCGUGCAGUCCUUAGGCCACAACGGUCCGGCUACGGGCAACACCACCAUCCGCGUUGGCUGGAAGCGCAGGCCAAGAGGUUCUCGUGCGCCAGACGAGACGGCUGUAGUAGUUGAUCGCGUUUUGCCGCUUGAAGCUGCCAUUCGAGGAUUCGCUGGUAGGGGGACUGAGGUGGUGGUCAACACGGCGCUUGGCACAAUUUUUGAUUCGCUGGCAGAGGCGUAUGAAUUCUACAAUCUCUAUUCGUGGGAGGUGCGGUUUGGGAUUCGAUACGGCAAAAGCAGGCAAAAUGUCAAUUGCACCAAAUGUAUGCAAGAGAUUGUGUGCGGCUGCGCUGGCAAACCAGAGAGGGAGAACAGUUGUGACAUGUGA